This 492-nucleotide ribosomal RNA is filed under the name uncultured bacterium. RNAcentral's name for it is "partial 16S ribosomal RNA". It matches the Rfam family "Bacterial small subunit ribosomal RNA", at positions 30 to 507 of the family's 1533-position model. The record is from RNAcentral.
AGUGAACGCUGGCGGAAUGCUUAACACAUGCAAGUCGAACGGCAGCACAGUGAGAACUUGGGCUGCCGGGGGGGGAGGGGCGGGAGGGACAGGAGUACAUCCGAAUCUACUGUUUCGUGGGGGAUAACGUAGGGGAACCUACGCCAAUACCGCAUACGAUGUACGGGGGAAAGCAUGGGACCUUCGGAGCUUGCGCGGUUGGAUGAGCGGAUGUCGGGUUAGUUGGUUGGCGGGGUACAGGCCCACCAAGGGGACGAUCGGUAGCUGGUCUGAGAGGAUGAUCAGCCACACUGGAACUGAGACACGGUCCAGACUCCUACGGGAGGCAGCAGUGGGGAAUGUUGGACAAUGGGCGCAAGCCUGAUCCAGCCAUACCGCGUGGGUGACGAAGGCCUUCGGGUUGUAAAGUCCUUUUGUUGGGAAAGAAAAGCAGCCGGCUAAUACCACGCGGUUGUGACGGUACCGUAAGAAUAAGCACCGGCUAACUACGUG